CUACGGGGCGCAGCAGUGGGGAAUAUUGGACAAUGGGGGAAACCCUGAUCCAGCAAUGCCGCGUGUGUGAAGAAGGCCUGCGGGUUGUAAAGCACUUUCGGUUGGGAGGACUGCUUCUAGCACUAAUAUUGUUGGAAGUUGACGUUACCUUCAGAAGAAGCACCGGCUAACUCCGUGCCAGCAGCCGCGGUAAUACGGAUGGUGCAAGCGUUAAUCGGAAUUACUGGGCGUAAAGCGCGCGUAGGUGGCUAGAUCAGUCGGGUGUGAAAGCCCCGGGCUUAACCUGGGAACUGCAUCCGAUACUGUCUAGCUUGAGUACAGGAGAGGAGAGUGGAAUUCCACAUGUAGCGGUGAAAUGCGUAGAUAUGUGGAGGAACACCAAUGGCGAAGGCAGCUCUCUGGCCUGAUACUGACGCUGAGGUGCGAAAGCGUGGGGAGCAAACAGGAUUAGAUACCCCGGUAGUC
RNAcentral lists this ribosomal RNA (465 nucleotides) under uncultured bacterium. RNAcentral describes it as "partial 16S ribosomal RNA". It matches the Rfam family "Bacterial small subunit ribosomal RNA", at positions 339 to 795 of the family's 1533-position model. The record is from RNAcentral.